RNAcentral lists this ribosomal RNA (233 nucleotides) under uncultured bacterium. RNAcentral describes it as "partial 16S ribosomal RNA". It matches the Rfam family "Bacterial small subunit ribosomal RNA", at positions 1268 to 1500 of the family's 1533-position model. The record is from RNAcentral.
CAAAACUCAAAAAAUAGAUCUCAGUUCGGACUGUAGGCUGCAACUCGCCUACACGAAGUUGGAAUUGCUAGUAAUCGUGGAUCAGCAUGCCACGGUGAAUACGUUCCCGGGUCUUGUACACACCGCCCGUCACACCAUGGGAGCUGGUAACACCCGAAGUCAGUAGUCUAACCGCAAGGAGGACGCUGCCGAAGGUGGGAUUAGCGACUGGGGUGAAGUCGUAACAAGGUAAC